UCCGGUUUGUCACCGGCAGUCUCCCUAGAGUCCCCACCAUUACGUGCUGGCAACUAAGGACAAGGGUUGCGCUCGUUACGGGACUUAACCCAACAUCUCACGACACGAGCUGACGACAGCCAUGCAGCACCUGUGUGCAGGUUCUCUUUCGAGCACGAAUCCAUCUCUGGAAACUUCCUGCCAUGUCAAAGGUGGGUAAGGUUUUUCGCGUUGCAUCGAAUUAAACCACAUCAUCCACCGCUUGUGCGGGUCCCCGUCAAUUCCUUUGAGUUUUAGCCUUGCGGCCGUACUUCCCAGACGGGGCACUUAAUGCGUUAGCUGCGACACCGAAUCCGUCUAUAGACCCGGCAUCUAGUGCCCAUCGUUUACGGCGUGGACUAC
RNAcentral lists this unclassified non-coding RNA (381 nucleotides) under uncultured bacterium. RNAcentral's name for it is "contains 16S-23S intergenic spacer region". The record is from RNAcentral.